ACUAACCAAACGUUCGGAACACUGCGCAUGAAUUGUAGAGAGACUCUCAUGGCAGUGGUUUCAAAAGUUGGCUGAGAAGAUAGAAGGGAUAUCUACAUCAACAACAUUACUCGUUCCACGGUGGGCAAAGAAUCAGCGGCAAUCAUUGAAUCAUUGGGAGUGCGCAACAUCAAUGAACGCUCGAGCAGUAUCAAACUGAGCUCUGAAGAGAACAUCGCGUGUGGUACGGAGUAUGUGUUGCACCAUGCUUUCAACAUUCAUUCGAUUAAAAGCGCACGUCGAGCAAUCUUCUGUGCUCGCGACUGUGAACAAAUAUCUUGAGCGUAAUGUUGAUAACUAAAUGCUGAAAUCCCGUUGUUCAAUGCGGACUAUGUUAUUGUUAUUUAGUGUGCUGUUUUAUGAAUCAGUUAAGUGUUUGAUUUAUUUUGAAAUUGAAAAAACGCUACAAUUUUUUAUUACCUAAUGUGAAUACAGUGGAUUCAAACCGAGACUUAGUGAUCAAAAUUGAUUACUUUUCUGAUGGUAUCAACUAUUUUCGGCAGUAAUGAUCAAUAGUAAAAAGAUUAUUUAUUGCAGGCAGACCUUAUAUGAAGAGCAAAAUAUCAAACGAACUUUCUGUGGAUAGCAAAUCAAGGCAGACCUUAUAUAAAGAGCAAAAUAUCAAACGAACUUUCUGUGGAUAGCAAAUCAACAGUGCACGAAAACGACCAUAGGUUGCUAGCGCCAAAUGAGAACGCAAUUAUACGCAAAUGCCGACGAGCAUGCAACCAUCGCAUGAAUGGUGGUUUUUGUGCAAUCAAUUUUCCUUGUUCCCUAACUCACGUGCCCAAUCAGGGAAAAAAGAAAUGGAGCGAAAACCUUUUUCGUUCUAUUUAAACUGUUUGUCUCUUCAUUUGUCUGAAUGUUAAAAUAUACAGGAUUAUUUAACUGAUUUUAUAUUUUUUAUUGACUGUGUAAUUUUGGGAAAGUAAACGCAAAAAUAAAUGUAAAAAUCCGUACAUUCGAAAUUAACGCAUAAAUUUAAUUUUAGCGUAACCUUGUACUUUUGAAGUGAACUAUUUGUGAAUCCGAACCAUCAAGCAAACGGUAAGAAUUUAUUAUUAUUUGCUUAAUGUACGCAAAACCCUCAAUAAGUUGUGUCGCUAAUCUCUGGCGCACCCACCCAUGAUUCAUUAAUACACAGGCAUAAUUGGUGCUCUAUUAGUCUUCUUCCCGUUCACCUCCUCACAUUCUUAUCGUACGACGAUUUGUGAAACCUCUGAUGAUCGGUCUGAAUGGUACCUGGCUAAGCAAUUAAAUUAUAACCAAUUUAAUUUGACGCUAUCCUAUAGCAAACUUUCAUUUAUCAUCGUGUUUCGAGCAUUACGCACUGCAAAUUGUGGUUCAGCAUGCAGAAGCAUCAGCACUAGAAUGAAAUGCAUUGUCAAGAACUGGAAAAAUUCAGAGGAUCGGCAUUCACACACGUCAAAUUAACUCGUGCGACAAAAGAGCAGUCGUGUGAUCAAAAUGGUUCGUCGAGCAGGACGUUGGUCAUCCCAUUGUACUUUGCCGUACACUAUCCCUUGAUGAAUAUCGAAAGGUAUUUCACACGGGACUUUUGUGGCAAAUAAUAGGAAUGAGAAUUUAAUAAUCUAACAAUCAUAUUUGAAAGCAGAUAAUUGAUUAGCAUGGAUUUUGGGAUUUAUGAUGGAAUAUUUCAAUAUCGUAUGUGAAAUUAAUAUGGGUAAGUUAUUGAAAAUAAUGAAGAUUAGAGUUCUACCUCAUGGAACUUUACUGAUAUCGAUAUUAGAAUUUUUAUUUAUGGAUUAUUUUUAUUGAAAUUGAAUGACAAUUCAUCAUUAUAAUUCUUCUGCUUGCCUUAAACUGACCCUUACACCUAGGUAUCAAGGCCAUAUUAUUGGCCUUAUUGCGUUCCAUAUUGUUUGCAAAUUAAAUACGGUAUGUCACAUUCUAUCUCAUUUCCUUCGAACAAAACAAAGCAUCAAGUAAGUCAAGUAUCAUGUUGCAUGACACCAUACAGCGAGAAUGUUUUCUUAAAUUCACCUACAAUGGCAUUUCAUACCUACUUAGCGAGAGCUUUACUUUGUAACAGCUUGAAAAAUUAAGUUAUCUUCCUUCCUGUUUUAUUCUUAAAUUACUCACUUACCAAACGUUAUUAUGCAAAUUGUGUCACCAGGAAAAAAACUUGGGUUUCCACGGAAAAGUAUUUUAAAAUGCGGUGGUACAGUUGAAAACCUGUGAAGGCAAUGACAGGUAUCGUCGAGCUGUCGAACUUUAGCAAGAAUGUCACCCUCCUGUAGGAAGUGUGUUGAUUUCACUUUAAACUUAAUUCAAAUUAACCCAUGUUGCUCCAUCUUUAACGUGAAAUGGGCCGAUUACAACUUGAAACAUAGCUAAGAUGCUUAUAAGGAACAGAAAGUUAGAUUCUGUUACGUGUUAAGCUGAUGUAAAUUGACGAGAGGACGAGCGUUAUGUAAAAUGCGUUUCAUUGGGUAUAAAAAUAAAGUUGUGAAGAAAAUUGUGUUAGCAAUUCGAUUUCAAUCUACCACUUAAACAAAUGUGAAUAGAUAGGACUUGACUUUUUGUCGUCGUAAAAUAAUUUUUAUUUACCAUUUUGAUCACUUUCUUUCUGGGCUUGUACUCCAAACGGUGAUUGAAGAAGUUGAGUUCUUAAAACAUUUCGGUAGAAGAUAGCAUAUAAUUGAGUAUGGAAAGCCAAAACCUUUCAAGCAAAGACAAUUUGUAAAGAAAAGUUAAUAGAAAAAAUAGUUUAAAUAACUUUACAUACUCUUUGACAUACUUUAAGACAUGGGAUGAUCAUACGAAGAAGUAAAACUAAAACAGACUUAGAUUUUAACCUGCUAUUUUCAGUGAUUUUAACGAUGGCUUUCAUACCUUAACUGCUGCUUACUACAAAAUGAAUAUUUUGUGUUCUAUUCAACAUGGUUGCAUUUUAAUUCGUUUUACAAGACCAACAAAAAACAAAUAAAAAAUCUCUUUGUAACAGCAAUGUAAAAAUUUGCAUGAAAUAAUCAAUCGGAAUAUUUAUGGUCUUAUUACGGAAAAGAUGUUUCAUUUAUUUACGAAAGCAAAACAAACGUUUCACAUAAUUUUUAAUCAAUUGUUUCAACACACAAACUGUUUUUUUUUUACAUACCAUCAUGCACUGAACGUCCUGGAACAAACUAACCACAGUGUACGUGGGCUGGCUCCGUCACAAAGGACAUGUUUACAUAGCCCUGUUCAUCUAAUUUAGAGCCUACUCCAGGUUUCGAAGUGCAUGUUAUUUAUUAUGCAAAUAUAGAACCAAUGAGCUCACCAACCCACACACUAUUGAUUAUAGGCGGUCUCGUUUGGUCGUACCUUUGUUGACUUAACGCGGUCACGGUUAGCCGAAAAGCCAUCGGAAAUACAAUCGCCCGUGGCAAUCGGAAGUUAUCGAAUGAGGAGUGGACCAGAUAGCCGGGCUGUGUUUCAUUAUGACCACAAAUUAAAACAUUCUCCACAUUGGAUUGUACAGCUAGUUGUGGGACCUCGUCUGUUCCCAAUCCCCAAUGCUUGCUGAGGGUGGGGUUUUCAAAUAGCACGCACCGGAACCGAACUGUGCGGGUAUGUCGGCACCGAAAGCUUGCUGUUUGUCUAGCUCAUAUUGAUGAAUAAUUAAAAUUGAUCACUCAAUUCAUUUUUCAAACCGUCUGUCCCAAACCGACUGCCAAACAUGUCAUCAGUAGUGGUGAUGUUUACAGAUGGAAUAGCUAAUUAAAAUUAGUUUGCCUUUGUUAGCUGUGGAACUGUAGCGAAAGGGGCACCAGAGGCACAUCACAUUAUUUUAAAAUGCAUUGAUAUGAUUGCACAUAUGCUGUUUGUUGUCUAGAAUGCUGUUCUUAGUAACUUUUAAUCAUUUUUCCUGUUUAUGUGUAUGAGUUAGAUUGAUCAAUAGAUAAUUUAGUAACUUAGCAUUAAACUCCACUAUCAUCUCUCCAAUAUCGUCUCUCAAAAGUAGUCCCAAUCGCGAUUGAUUCAGACCAUCGAGGUAAGUCGAUAGGCUGGAAAACAUUAUUUUACACAUGAAAGAUCUAUCACGAUUUUAUUGCAACUUCCAAAUGUGGCUUCAAGGGAAGUAGAAAGACAGGGAUGUUGUCUUUCAAAGUAAUUCCUAUCACGAAUCCUUUACACUACUUCGCGUGACAGCAAGACAUUUACCAACCGGGGGUUAAAGGGUCUUCGCAAUUCAAUGCAGUAAUGAACCGUACUUACAAUCCAUGUUGAUACUGACUGUUCUUCAGUUUCAUCCCAGGUUUCAUCUUUUACCUGCCUGAUUCGUUCAAACGAUCGAAUACAACCGUAAUAAAAUGCAUAUAAAAACAGCGACAUUUAGUUAUUUCGACAGUUGUUAUCCUUUUCGUGGUCGUUCCUUUGCGUUGCCUUCGUUGUACAAGCUCACUCCAACUACUUUGGACGUAAACGUGCUCGAUGGAUGGUUGUCUGAGAUGGACUGUUAGAAUCGGGACGCUCGUAAGGAGCACCAUGUAUUUUACAAUUCAAUAGUAUGUCGCUAUCAUGUGUUGAAGACUCGUCCAUUAGAAAAUUAAAUGUUGUACUCUACACCGCAAAAUUAGCAUGACAUUUAUUCUGAUAACUACACGAAGGCCAACACUGAAGGCUGUCAAUAAACUCCAAAUAAAUUUGGAUAGAAAUCUGCAUCCUUCUAUCGCUCGGGGUAGGUUUGAUUGAACCGAGUUAUUUGUUUGUUUGUACUUAUAGAUUUACGGCGUAAAAUAAGACCGGACUCACAUGUGUUACAUUGUGAAUUAUGAUGGCAUAACAUCCUUCAUCGCUCAAUACAAUCCCUAUCAACAAAUUCACCCGCUUCGAAAAAAGGUAACCAGACAGUUCUUCGAUGAUGUCGGUCGUGAUGCGGGUGUUAGCUGCCUCUAUGAAUAAAUCAACAACAGAUUGUUCAAUGACCACUUCCAGUAGAGUCAUCAUGCGGAGGAUUUAACUUACCGCUUUUUGACACCCCUGCAACCAAAGGGGCCUGGUUCGCGUGGUUGCGUGAUCAAUCUAAUCGAGUUGAGCAUGGGCUAAUUUAUUUUAAAAUAGUCCAGUUCUUCUUGGGAAACAUAUAUGGUGGAUGCAGUGUGUUGACCAUGAAAAGGCCCUCAUGGUUAUAGUUGUGGGCGAGUGAAUAGUUGUGGGGAGAAUGAACUGUACGUCGAUCUUGUGAAGAGUUUUGUGUUUUCUGUGACCCUGCUGCAUUUUGAUACAUUUAAUAGUUGAACCAAUUAAUAAAGAUUGAUGAUGGUAGCGCCAGUUUUAGCGAGAGAUAUUGUUGUGGGAGUGGGGAUAAGCAUUUAACACGGCUCACUCCAUCACAAAGCAAUGGGCAUCAUCGUAUGAUAUUAUGAAUUUUAAUAUUGGUUCAAUGACGUAAUAAAAUGUACCACUGUUUUAUUAUUAUAUUACAUCCUGGGAGCGGCCAGGUGAUAGAUGCGAUAACGGCACCAGUCUUCAUACGGCAGGAUCGGGGUUCAAAUUCCAUCCGAACCUAUCCGACAAUAACUUGCAUGAAGCUUGAAUAAAUUACGAAGAAUUAAAGGAGAUAAUGUUAAUUUGUCCAGAUAUCACUUUCCUGUUUCUUUUGGCGAAUAUGAUCGAACUAAAAGAAAUAGACCAGAGGCUGGCAAACCACCAAUUAUGGCCUAUUAUUAGUAUUAAAUCUUUUGAUAACUUUCGAUGAACGUUAGACAGCAGCGCAUUAUAUGCAUUCCAACUCUUCCCCAGCCAUAGCUGACGAUAUUCUGGGCAUCGUAUCCCUCGUAUAAAAACUGCACAAACUGUACGCCGAAUAUGGAAGGGCAUCAUUACGCCAGCUGUGGUUGCGCGUGAUGGGAGCGAUAAGAUAAAGGAUUAAAUCGAAUAUGCUGUUCGAUAAGCUGUGACUGAAUUACAUGGUACCAAAAUGUCAGUUUUUUAGACAGUAAAGCUGUUAAUAACCCGAUUAUUUCUUCCUCAUUUACUAUGAACAACGCUUAGUGUAGAACUUUUUCAUAAGCCUGAAAUUUGACUUCCGUAAACAGUAUAGUGAGAAAUACCCCUUCGACAUGAGAGAAAGUGAGUGGAACAAUUUCUCACGUGCGUAAAAAAUGGGUAAACAACGUUCCUGCAAUGUUGCGCUGAGAGGCGUGGUCGAAACUCCACAACCUUUUCAAGUACAUCAAAGCGUCUCAUUCUCAGUGCACUUUAGCAGUGGCCAUGCGAGUGUCGUCGAUAUUUUGCUUGACACGACAGUCCGGCGAGUUAUGGUCUGUGUUGUGUCCGAUGAUUUGAGCUUGACGAUUGAGGAGUUAUAAGAGAGUGUGUAGGAGUGAGUUGUGAGUAAGGCACAAGUGUAUCGUUGAAGUGAAGAGUUCGUUUGACAAUCACGCUAGAUUAAUAUGCGUGAAUUAAGUAAGUGCUUGCGAGAUGAAAUAUACGCUCAACUUUUAGGAUGUGUAGCUAAUUGAUGGGAUUAUUUCCCAGUGGUAUCUAAAUCUGAAUAGGCGGAAAACAUCUUCCUUAAUUUUUUGUAAAAUCUUUUAAACUUACGAAAAGAGUGUUAAAUUAAAGCACAUUGAUAUACAAAAUGUAUUAUGAGCGCUGAAAGUCAGCAAUACCAUCAACAGCCUGCGACAGCCUUGGAUAACCUAAAACCUCGUCCAACGCUUCGACAAACACGAACGAAUUCGAUACAUAAUAAGACGUUUUCUAGUGUUACAUACUUCUUAAUACUUUGUAGUCUGCCCAUAAAAACUUCUACACUAAAAGCUGAACUGGCAAUAAAGAACAUUAUGCAAUCGAUGUUUUACGUGACAUGUC
Molecule: long non-coding RNA, 6858 nt
Organism: Anopheles stephensi (Asian malaria mosquito)
Lineage: Eukaryota; Metazoa; Arthropoda; Insecta; Diptera; Culicidae
Exons: 3
Source: RefSeq, a predicted model, not a curated record